Micropterus dolomieu (smallmouth bass) is the source of this 700-nucleotide long non-coding RNA. RefSeq lists it as uncharacterized. The transcript has 2 exons. NCBI's taxonomy places the organism in Eukaryota, Metazoa, Chordata, Actinopteri, Centrarchiformes, Centrarchidae. The record is from RefSeq and is a predicted model, not a curated record.
GGACACAAAAAUAUACAGAUUGUGAGACUAAAGAUGACAGAUUGUCACAUUACAUCAAAGUACACAAGAAGAAUUUGCGGUGUUGGAGCUUUUGCAAGUGGCAGAAGAAUAAGAUCCAGCCAGAGACUUGUCUGGAGGAGGAAGUCACAGAUUACCGAGAUAGCCCAUUGUUGUCCAAAACUCAGGCGAAGAAGAAGGAGGAGGACAACAAGGGUUCAGCUCAAGAUCAGGUCCAGCUGUCCAGACAAAAAGGCCCUCUUUGCUGAAGAGAAUCCGCCUGUUCUACCGUCGCCUGAGCUGCUGGUCCCAUGAAUGAGUGACGCCCUUUGAACCCACUUAACUAACCACAAACUCUAUUCCCUCUCUCUACUAUCUUACCUUCCCUCUACUCCCCAUUUCCUCCCCUUCUGCUCAACUUCACCCACCCAACCCCACUCUAACCUUCUCUCCCCCUCCCUUUACUCUCUCAACCCCUCACCUUCCCUUUACUUCCCCUCAUCCCCUUACCUUCUCUCUUCUACCCCAUCAUUCCAACCCCUGACUCCCCUCUUUUUACCUCCCACCUUGCUCUACUUCACCCACCCAACUGCACUCUAUCCCCACUCUAUCUCUACUCUCACAAGCAGCAUAAUGAUUUGGUGACAGGUUAGCAUUGUUGUCUCAAACCCCACCAUAUUCCUAAUAAAUUGACUGCAAAUUA